RNAcentral lists this ribosomal RNA (415 nucleotides) under uncultured prokaryote. RNAcentral's name for it is "bacterial SSU rRNA". It matches the Rfam family "Bacterial small subunit ribosomal RNA", at positions 505 to 918 of the family's 1533-position model. The record is from RNAcentral.
GUGCCAGCAGCCGCGGUAAUACGGAGGGUGCAAGCGUUGUUCGGAAUUACUGGGCGUAAAGAGCGUGUAGGCGGUUUGGCAAGUCAGAUGUGAAAGCCCUCGGCUCAACCGGGGAAGUGCAUUUGAUACUGCCAUUCUAGAGUAUGGGAGAGGAGAGUGGAAUUCCCGGUGUAGAGGUGAAAUUCGUAGAUAUCGGGAGGAACACCCGUGGCGAAGGCGGCUCUCUGGACCAAUACUGACGCUGAGACGCGAAAGCGUGGGGAGCAAACAGGAUUAGAUACCCUGGUUGUCCACGCCGUAAACGAUGAGAACUAGGUGUAGCGGGUAUUGACCCCUGCUGUGCCGUAGUUAACGCGUUAAGUAUCCCGCCUGGGGAGUACGGCCGCAAGGCUAAAACUUAAAGGAAUUGACGGGG